CCUACGGGUGGCAGCAGUGAGGAAUAUUGGUCAAUGGACGAGAGUCUGAACCAGCCAAGUAGCGUGAAGGAUGACUGCCCUAUGGGUUGUAAACUUCUUUUAUAUGGGAAUAAAACGUUCCACGUGUGGGAUUUUGUAUGUACCAUAUGAAUAAGGAUCGGCUAACUCCGUGCCAGCAGCCGCGGUAAUAUGGAGGAUCCGAGCGUUAUCCGGAUUUAUUGGGUUUAAAGGGAGCGUAGGUGGAUUGUUAAGUCAGUUGUGAAAGUUUGCGGCUCAACCGUAAAAUUGCAGUUGAAACUGGCAGUCUUGAGUACAGUAGAGGUGGGCGGAAUUAGUGGUGUAGCGGUGAAAUGCUUAGAUAUCACGAAGAACUCCGAUUGCGAAGGCAGUUCACUGGACUGCAACUGACACUGAGGCUCGAAAGUGUGGGUAUCAAACAGGAUUAGAUACCCUGGUAGUC
RNAcentral lists this ribosomal RNA (460 nucleotides) under uncultured bacterium. RNAcentral describes it as "partial 16S ribosomal RNA". It matches the Rfam family "Bacterial small subunit ribosomal RNA", at positions 338 to 795 of the family's 1533-position model. The record is from RNAcentral.